UGAAAUCAAGUGUGACGACCCCCUGAAU
This 28-nucleotide ribosomal RNA is filed under the name Dermanyssus hirundinis. Its description in RNAcentral is "partial 28S ribosomal RNA". Lineage: Eukaryota; Metazoa; Arthropoda; Arachnida; Mesostigmata; Dermanyssidae. The record is from RNAcentral.